GCUGCUGGUUACUGUUCGUUUGCGUUAAUUUGCACUGAGUCGCUCUUCAUACACGCCUCCGAAAUAGGAUACCGUCUGACCUGGGGAGUGCUGCAAAGGCCAGUGACCUUGUCCACCCAAGCUUUUGCUCUGCAGACCCUUUCCAAAUGUUACUAAAGACUUUCUGUAAAGCUGGUGAAAUGAACUGUUACAGAUAUUUCUGCUGUGACUGUGAACUGCUCUUCCCGAGUAGCUCAUGGGCCCUGACUGGAGAGAUGAGACAACAUGGAGAUCAGAAAAGAUCUGUAGGCAGAGACUUUGUAGUCAAGAGCUACUAUGAUAGUGGGCUUCUCCUGCAGCACUACAACUGUUGAUCAGAAAGAGAUGUGCGAACAUCGGAGUUGGAGAGAUGGGGAGAAAGAGCUUCAAUUUGAUCGUUAAAAGGCACAGAAUGCUUUCAUCCUUUUGGUAAGAUGCAGUUAAAACUUUUAAACAGACUGAGCAUUGCUUUUUAUGUCUGUGGCUGUUUUUCAGUUUGACCAGGGUAGUUGGGGAUGGCUUUAGAAGCUCAUGAAAUCAUAUUAUAUAAUUGAAUAUCUAAAAUCUGUUUAUCCUAAUUACUGCACUUGUUUGCAGCAGUGUGUGUAGCUCUCAGGUUAUCUACGAGAAUCUGGUAAGUGGGCAAGGUGAGCAGUGACCAGUGGAUGGAAGCAGUUGGUAUUGCUCAGGUGCGAUUUCUGGUGUGACUCUUAGCCUCUGUUCUCGUUUGUGUGCUUUAGGUGGUCCAGUGGUAUUACGCCGAGACCCCCUCAGCAACUGGCCGACACACCCGGUUUGUCGCUCCCUGUUUGUUGCGGGAAUUGUUAUUGAGGAGUAAAUUUGUGUUUGAAUUAUUAUAUAUAUAUUUUUGAUGUGUUAUUAUGUUGAGUCUUAGUCAUGUUGUUUUAAAUUAUAGUUUUGAUUCUUUGAGGUAACUUUUUGUGUUUUCUUGUUUGAGUUUUUUGGUAACUAAAUACAGGUUUUUUUUGGUGAUGGUUUUAGUAAUUUUGAUUUUUGUGGUUUAGCUGUAAUUUGGGUAAGAGUGUAUAAAUAAUUUUUUAAGAGUUUAUGUUAUGUAUUGGAUUAUUUGAUUUGCAAUUUAAAUUUUGUGAGGGAUAAGGUUAGUUAAGAGGUAUACUAACGAGGUAUGUAGAAAAUGGAUUUUUCAGAUUGGUGACCAAUAAACACUGUAUUUGGAUGUGUGGUUUUAGUUAG
This 1233-nucleotide long non-coding RNA is filed under the name Serinus canaria (Common canary). RNAcentral's name for it is "lncRNA (ENSSCAG00000002934.1)". The record is from RNAcentral. Lineage: Eukaryota; Metazoa; Chordata; Aves; Passeriformes; Fringillidae.